Molecule: ribosomal RNA, 503 nt
Filed under: uncultured bacterium
Lineage: Bacteria
Description: partial 16S ribosomal RNA
Rfam family: Bacterial small subunit ribosomal RNA
Source: RNAcentral
AUUGAACGCUGGCGGCAGGCUUAACACAUGCAAGUCGAGCGGGGUGAUGGUGCUUGCACUAUCACUUAGCGGCGGACGGGUGAGUAAUGCUUAGGAAUCUGCCUAUUAGUGGGGGACAACAUCUCGAAAGGGACGCUAAUACCGCAUGCGUCCUACGGGAGAAAGCAGGGGAUCACUUGUGACCUUGCGCUAAUAGAUGAGCCUAAGUGGGAUUAGCUAGUGGGUGGGGUAAAGGCCUACCAAGGCGACGAUCUGUAGCGGGUCUGAGAGGAUGAUCCGCCACACUGGGACUGAGACACGGCCCAGACUCCUACGGGAGGCAGCAGUGGGGAAUAUUGGACAAUGGGGGGAACCCUGAUCCAGCCAUGCCGCGUGUGUGAAGAAGGCCUUAUGGUUGUAAAGCACUUUAAGCGAGGAGGAGGCUCUUUUGGUUAAUACCCAAGAUGAGUGGACGUUACUCGCAGAAUAAGCACCGGCUAACUCUGUGCCAGCAGCCGCCGUAA